GGGGUUGUGGCUCAGUGGUACAGCAUCUGCUUGGCAUGCAGAAGGUCCCAGGUUUAAUUCCCUCCACCUCCA
This 72-nucleotide transfer RNA is filed under the name Sphaerodactylus townsendi. Its description in RNAcentral is "tRNA-Ala". It matches the Rfam family "tRNA". From Rfam's summary of the family: Transfer RNA (tRNA) molecules are approximately 80 nucleotides in length. Lineage: Eukaryota; Metazoa; Chordata; Lepidosauria; Squamata; Sphaerodactylidae. The record is from RNAcentral.